UACGUAGGGGGCAAGCGUUGUCCGGAUUUAUUGGGCGUAAAGAGCGUGUAGGCGGCCAGACACGUCAGCUGUGAAAACUCGAGGCUCAACCUCGAGACGUCGGUUGAAACCGUCUGGCUAGAGUCCGGAAGAGGAGAGUGGAAUUCCCGGUGUAGCGGUGAAAUGCGCAGAUAUCGGGAAGAACACCCGUGGCGAAGGCGGCUCUCUGGGACGGUACUGACGCUGAGACGCGAAAGCGUGGGGAGCGAACAGG
RNAcentral lists this ribosomal RNA (253 nucleotides) under uncultured bacterium. Its description in RNAcentral is "partial 16S ribosomal RNA". It matches the Rfam family "Bacterial small subunit ribosomal RNA", at positions 524 to 776 of the family's 1533-position model. The record is from RNAcentral.